GUGGGGAAUAUUGCGCAAUGGGCGAAAGCCUGACGCAGCGACGCCGCGUGAGGGAUGAAGGUCUUCGGAUCGUAAACCUCUGUCAGGAGGGAAGAAGUGGUUAUAUGCGAAUAGUGUAUGACUUUGACGGUACCUCCAAAGGAAGCACCGGCUAACUCCGUGCCAGCAGCCGCGGUAAUACGGAGGGUGCGAGCGUUAAUCGGAAUCACUGGGCGUAAAGCGCGCGUAGGCGGCUUUUCAAGUCAGGGGUGAAAUCCCACGGCCCAACCGUGGAACUGCCUUUGAAACUGUAGAGCUUGAGUGUCGGAGAGGGUGGCGGAAUUCCAGGUGUAGGAGUGAAAUCCGUAGAUAUCUGGAGGAACACCGGUGGCGAAGGCGGCCACCUGGACGACAACUGACGCUGAGGUGCGAAAGCGUGGGUAGCAAACAGGA
Molecule: ribosomal RNA, 432 nt
Filed under: uncultured bacterium
Lineage: Bacteria
Description: bacterial SSU rRNA
Rfam family: Bacterial small subunit ribosomal RNA
Source: RNAcentral